GAUGAACGCUGGCGGCGUGCCUAAUACAUGCAAGUCGAGCGAACAGAUGAGGAGCUUGCUCCUCUGACGUUAGCGGCGGACGGGUGAGUAACACGUGGAUAACCUACCUAUAAGACUGGGAUAACUUCGGGAAACCGGAGCUAAUACCGGAUAAUAUAUUGAACCGCAUGGUUCAAUAGUGAAAGACGGUUUUGCUGUCACUUAUAGAUGGAUCCGCGCCGCAUUAGCUAGUUGGUAAGGUAACGGCUUACCAAGGCAACGAUGCGUAGCCGACCUGAGAGGGUGAUCGGCCACACUGGAACUGAGACACGGUCCAGACUCCUACGGGAGGCAGCAGUAGGGAAUCUUCCGCAAUGGGCGAAAGCCUGACGGAGCAACGCCGCGUGAGUGAUGAAGGUCUUCGGAUCGUAAAACGCUGUUAUUAGGGAAGAACAAAUGUGUAAGUAACUAUGCACGUCUUGACGGUACCUAAUCAGAAAGCCACGGCUAACUACGUG
RNAcentral lists this ribosomal RNA (497 nucleotides) under uncultured bacterium. Its description in RNAcentral is "partial 16S ribosomal RNA". It matches the Rfam family "Bacterial small subunit ribosomal RNA", at positions 28 to 507 of the family's 1533-position model. The record is from RNAcentral.